This is a long non-coding RNA of Mangifera indica (mango), 1492 nucleotides long. RefSeq lists it as uncharacterized. NCBI's taxonomy places the organism in Eukaryota, Viridiplantae, Streptophyta, Magnoliopsida, Sapindales, Anacardiaceae. The record is from RefSeq and is a predicted model, not a curated record. The transcript has 6 exons.
GGAUAAAGAAGGAGAAUUUCGAUGUGAAAACAGAGAGAGAAAGAGAUGAGAUUUUUUUUUUUUCAUGAGAAGGGGAUACGAAUUCUCUAUCAUCCCAAUAAAUAGGAAAAAUGUUUUACUUGCAAAAACAAGAACCGGGGUUAGAGUAUUUGUCCCAUUCCUAUCCUGCUUACCGAAAACCGAACCCGGUAAACUCUUUUCUUCAACCUGCGACUCUCCUUAUCCGACUGGAGUUUGAGUGAGUAACAAUGGUUAAAGGGGUAGUUGGAGAGGAAACUCAAGUUAAAUUAGCCGAAGAUUGCCUCUCUCAAUCUACUUUCCCUUCCCGGGUUGGUCUUCUGAUAGCCAAGCUAAGCUCCACUGCAGACCGAGGCUUUGUCUUCGAUUUAAUCCCCACCCCUCGUAACGGUGCCGGAUAGGUAGCUUGUUUGCUCAAUAAAACCACCUCCAAAGACGAAAAGAAGAAGGCCUCCAAAUCCAAAUUUCAACCCUUCAAUUUUCCCUCUUUGGUCAUCGACCAGGAUUGGGUAGCCGAACAUGCGCGUCAGGUAAAUCACACUGAGAAAAAGCCUUUUUUGUUAAUCAACAUUAAACUGUUUAAGAAUUAAUGACUUGCUGAUUUUAAUUUUCGAGAAUGCUAUAAGGAGUUAUGAAAGUGAUUGGUAUUUAUAUGUGGGCUAGUGAUGCAGCGUUCAAAAAUUCUACUGUCUUUCUUCACCAGAACGUGAAUGGAGUUGCAAGAGCAGCGCCUUUUAUGGGAAUAGAUGGUGGAGGUUUAACUAAAGAGUUAAACUUGUGUUGGUGGACAUGUGGGAAUUGCCUGGUAGCUUCAAAUACUAUCACGUUGGCGACCUCAAGGCCGUGAGAUUUUAAGGUCGGAAAGGUCUUAAAUUCUCUUCAAACUUUUAAGUGCACCUACAACUUCAGUAUUGGAUUGCCAAUAUGUAAUGAGGGUGCUCCAAAUGCCCCAACAUUCGGUGACAUUCUAAGGACAUCUGAGGUUGGCAGGCAUAUUUGUUGGAGACUUUUUGCAAUCAUCAGAGACGCAUGAGGUUCUUAAGGAUCAUUUUGCUGAGUUGAUGUCCAUGGAACCUGUCUCUGAUUGCUCAUAGAUCUUGGAAGCUGAAGUAGAAGCCCCCACAGUUAUCGUCUCUAAAUCCUUUUGGGAUGUAGCAGAUACCUAUCACUCAGGAUUGAACUCUACCUCAGAGAAUAAAGCAAUUGACGCAAAGGACAAAAGCAAACAACCUGUGAAGAAAUCUAAUUACAUCAUCAUUGCUGGUGUGUUUUUCCUUAUUCUCUCAAAUUUAGUAGGUUUACUGCUUUCUAUUAAGAGACUAUAGCUCAUUAAGUAAAUUUUUGGUAGGCUUAUUGCAGCUGUCAUUCUUAAUAGUGGCUAAGAGGGGGAAAUUGAAUGUGAUAUCACUUUUAUUGAUAAAAGAGUUAAAUUGACACUGGAAAGUGGAAACACCAAAAUUUUUAUUUGCUACAA